AGAGGGAUUGCUGGAUCAUAUGGUGGUUCCAUUCCCAAUUUUCUAAGAAAUCUCCAUACUGUUUUCCAUAUUGGCUGCACCAAUUUUCACUCCCACCAGCAGU
This 103-nucleotide microRNA precursor is filed under the name Marmota monax (woodchuck). The record is from RNAcentral. Lineage: Eukaryota; Metazoa; Chordata; Mammalia; Rodentia; Sciuridae.